RNAcentral lists this ribosomal RNA (1372 nucleotides) under uncultured bacterium. RNAcentral's name for it is "bacterial SSU rRNA". It matches the Rfam family "Bacterial small subunit ribosomal RNA", at positions 28 to 1381 of the family's 1533-position model. The record is from RNAcentral.
GAUGAACGCUGGCGGCGUGCCUAAUACAUGCAAGUCGAGCGAACGGACGAGAAGCUUGCUUCUCUGAUGUUAGCGGCGGACGGGUGAGUAACACGUGGAUAACCUACCUAUAAGACUGGGAUAACUUCGGGAAACCGGAGCUAAUACCGGAUAAUAUUUUGAACCGCAUGGUUCAAAAGUGAAAGACGGCCUUGCUGUCACUUAUAGAUGGAUCCGCGCUGCAUUAGCUAGUUGGUAAGGUAACGGCUUACCAAGGCAACGAUGCAUAGCCGACCUGAGAGGGUGAUCGGCCACACUGGAACUGAGACACGGUCCAGACUCCUACGGGAGGCAGCAGUAGGGAAUCUUCCGCAAUGGGCGAAAGCCUGACGGAGCAACGCCGCGUGAGUGAUGAAGGUCUUCGGAUCGUAAAACUCUGUUAUUAGGGAAGAACAUAUGUGUAAGUAACUGUGCACAUCUUGACGGUACCUAAUCAGAAAGCCACGGCUAACUACGUGCCAGCAGCCGCGGUAAUACGUAGGUGGCAAGCGUUAUCCGGAAUUAUUGGGCGUAAAGCGCGCGUAGGCGGUUUUUUAAGUCUGAUGUGAAAGCCCACGGCUCAACCGUGGAGGGUCAUUGGAAACUGGAAAACUUGAGUGCAGAAGAGGAAAGUGGAAUUCCAUGUGUAGCGGUGAAAUGCGCAGAGAUAUGGAGGAACACCAGUGGCGAAGGCGACUUUCUGGUCUGUAACUGACGCUGAUGUGCGAAAGCGUGGGGAUCAAACAGGAUUAGAUACCCUGGUAGUCCACGCCGUAAACGAUGAGUGCUAAGUGUUAGGGGGUUUCCGCCCCUUAGUGCUGCAGCUAACGCAUUAAGCACUCCGCCUGGGGAGUACGACCGCAAGGUUGAAACUCAAAGGAAUUGACGGGGACCCGCACAAGCGGUGGAGCAUGUGGUUUAAUUCGAAGCAACGCGAAGAACCUUACCAAAUCUUGACAUCCUUUGACAACUCUAGAGAUAGAGCCUUCCCCUUCGGGGGACAAAGUGACAGGUGGUGCAUGGUUGUCGUCAGCUCGUGUCAUGAGAUGUUGGGUUAAGUCCCGCAACGAGCGCAACCCUUAAGCUUAGUUGCCAUCAUUAAGUUGGGCACUCUAAGUUGACUGCCGGUGACAAACCGGAGGAAGGUGGGGAUGACGUCAAAUCAUCAUGCCCCUUAUGAUUUGGGCUACACACGUGCUACAAUGGACAAUACAAAGGGCAGCGAAACCGCGAGGUCAAGCAAAUCCCAUAAAGUUGUUCUCAGUUCGGAUUGUAGUCUGCAACUCGACUACAUGAAGCUGGAAUCGCUAGUAAUCGUAGAUCAGCAUGCUACGGUGAAUACGUUCCCGGGUCU